GUCUACAAGCAUUAUCGUCUCUGACAUCCCAUAAAAUUGGAAUGAUGCAAAGAAGAUUAGCAUAGCCCACGCCCAAGAAUGACAAGUACAAAUAUAAAAUUGGUUCAAAAUUCUU
Molecule: non-coding RNA, 115 nt
Organism: Citrus sinensis (sweet orange)
Lineage: Eukaryota; Viridiplantae; Streptophyta; Magnoliopsida; Sapindales; Rutaceae
Source: Rfam